CAUAGAACUGGCCAAGCAGGUUUUGCAGGUCCAGAAAAAGCAAAAAUAAAUAAGUAAGUAAGUAAGUAAGUAAGUAAAUAAGUAAGUAAAUAAAUAAAAGCCAAGAAGUGUAAAUCUUUAGUCCAAGGGGCCAAAGGCACGCCCAGGACAUCCACAGGCUUUCACAAAGACUGGAGUGGAAUUAUGGAGGCAGCAGAGUUUUCCAGAGCCUGGGAGCUGUUUCACAAGCAACUGUCAUUGAAGAAUUCUGAUGCAUUUCAAGAAGCCCAUUUUAAGCUCAUCCGACCAGCACUUCAGAUUUAAAGAGCCCCACCUCGCUUGCUGGGGAACCCUUCCCGGGAGAAGACCAGCAGAGAAUCUGAACGUCUGCAGAGCCCUGAUCCGGACCCACUGCCACCUCCUUGCUGCUCUGAGAGGCUCUUGUCCUUGAAACCCUACCUGUCUACACUGGGCACAUGAUAAACCUGGAGUAUUUUCCUGGAGCAUUAAUUUUACUUAAUGAUGAAUAAUCAAGAACAUUUUUAUGCUUAAAUAAUAGGUUGUGGACUAUAAUGCAAAAUUUGCAUGAAUUUUAAGGAGAAACAAAAGCCUUCAAAGAAAUCUGCAUUGUUGGUGAGUUAUGUCAGGGACUCAGCUUCACUGUCCUCUGGGCUGCAGGAAUGCUCUGGUGGAAAAGCUUUGAACGUGGUAAACAGGGGACUGUGUUUUACAGGAUGCAGAAACCUGUACGGAUGUAAUCUUUGGAUCAGGCUCUCAAGGAGUGAGCCGUGUGCUGUUUGUCUUUCUCUCCCUAAAAAAUACAGAAGAUAACAAGGAAAAUAAGGGGGAAAUCACGCAAGAUCUCAUCCUCUCUGAAGACAACCACAGAAUAAAAAUGCAGCCUCCACCAUGUUGGAUCAUGUAGCUCUGCAUAAGCUCUUCCAAGGGUCUCCAUUCCGCUCAGGCCCUAACAGUAGCCCACGAAGCUACAGGACCUGGCCUCUCACCCCUGGCUCACCUCCGACGCAUGUAUACAACAGAGAUGCCUGGAUUUCCUUGUACGUGACAGGUUCACAUGAGACAUCUUAUAGAAGCUGCUUUCUUCACCCAAUGCUGCACACAUUUCUAUGUCAAGGACACAGUGGGGAGCAAAGCCUUGACAUAAUAGACUUCAGUGCCAGGGCGAAUGCGGAGGAAAACCUGCCGCCCCGUGCACGCAGGCUUCUCCUUGGGAAAGGCGCUCUGCUAAUUGUGAACAUCAGCCAAAGCCCUGAAAGUGAUUCUAGCUGGAAAUGAGCAGGUCUCUGAAGCGGAAGAAGAGAUGGACUCUGGAGAAGAGGGUGUCUGCAGCCGUAGGGGUGAAGGUGACCACCCCGGGGAGAGGGGCAGUGCCGAGCCAAACUUCAGAUGCCUCUGGGGGAUGCCGGGCACCCCAUUGGCCUGGCAUCCACAAAUGUUUCAGCCAGAUGUGCAGCCCUUGGAAUGAGCAGUCAGCAACUGCUUUGAAGAUGAAAAGCCCUGGGAGCCCACAGAGUGCCUCUGUUACUGGCGGGAGCACGCCUUCUCCGCAUCAGCACUGCUCACGGCUCUGCUCCAGCUGGUGAAAGGCAAACCCAGCCGGAAAUGCCAAGUGCAAGGAAGGGGAGCAAGUGAAAUGCUGGGGGUGGGAGAAGGGAAGGGGUGGGUGCCUGUGCUUUGAAAUUCUGUCCCGGAAAGGCCUCUUCAGUGGAUCCCCUUCCAACCUGCCCCAGUACAACAACUGGACGUGGCAUGUGACAGGCGCUGCCGACAGGUCACAUUUCACACACGCAGCUGUAGUAUCUGGCACGCAGGUGUUUGGUUCUGUGUUUGCCAGCUGCUCUGCAGCGCCCUGCUUUUCUGGCUGGGACGGGGGAGGGGGAACCUCACACUUGUUGCUGCCAAAAGUGAGGAGGGGUUAAAAAUUCCUGCCAGUGGGCCAGGUGCUCAGCGUUGGAGUCAGUGCUUGAGUGUCCCCGUGGCUGCCUCAAGGGUCCCGGGGACAGGGGAUGGGUCUGCAUGGGAGUGGGAGCAAGGUGACCGGGAAGCCUCCAGCAAGCUGGCCAGGCCCCAGGAAGAUCCGUCGGGAGCGAGUGAGCAAGAGGAGAGUAGGCCCCUGGGCUCUCGAGUUGGGAAGAUAAGAGUUCAGAUCCCAGCUCCACCUCUGAGUAAUUGUGAACUCUUGGCCAAGUUUCUUAACCUGUCUGGGCCUCAGUGUCCUAGUCUAUAAAAUGGAUUGUGGAAUGCCUGGUGCAUGGACCGCUGGAAGGAUUCCAUGAGACAGGAUGUAAAGCACGCAGGGAAGCAGUGCUGCUUUUGCUGCCCCCACCUGGAAAGCGGGUCAGGCAGGCACCUCCCAGGCUCCUGGGCCGGCACCCUGGACCAUUGCGCACGUCAAGCAAGCCUGGCGCAGCGGUUCUGUGUCUCAGGGUGGAUGGGCGGGCCCGGGCGGGCCCAGUGUCCAGACACAGAUAAUUGGUUUCCUGCUCUUUCUUCUUCCUCAGAGAGGAAGACGACUGUGUACUCAGAAAACUAAAUCACUGAGAAAGCACAAAGCAGGGCGUUUGGGCUUGAGCCUCCCACCUCCAGCCCCCCGCCUCCCCAACCCAGAACUCACCAGAGAUUGUUCAUGGCUGUGGCUGUUACUUGGAAGUGUCUCUCCCUCCUCCUCUGGACUCUCUGGAGGCCGUGGGCCACGUCCACUUUGCCCGCCACUCCUUUCUAUUCUCUGCAGGCAAGAAGGUUGGAAAAACGUUUGCUGAGGGAGCAAAGGCCUGAGUGUGUAGAUGAGUAGAAGGAGGUCCUCACUGCUUCUGCCUCUCUCAUCCCCAUUUAAAAAAAAGUUUUUGGAGCAAAUUUAUGGUUACUGGGGUAGAGGGGAGAGGGGAGAGAGAGAUAAAUUGAGAGCUUGGGAUUGGCUUAUUAAACUACUAUGUACCAAACAGAUAAACAACAAAGUCCUAGUCUAUAUCACAGGAGAUUAUAUUCUAUGGCUUGUAGUAACAAGUAAUGAAAAAGAAUAUGAAAAAGAAUAUAUAUAUAUAUAUAUAAAAAACUGAAUCACUAUGCUGUAACCAGAAACUAAUACAAUA
Long non-coding RNA from Camelus dromedarius (Arabian camel), 3089 nucleotides. RefSeq lists it as uncharacterized. The transcript has 5 exons. Lineage: Eukaryota; Metazoa; Chordata; Mammalia; Artiodactyla; Camelidae. The record is from RefSeq and is a predicted model, not a curated record.